RNAcentral lists this long non-coding RNA (777 nucleotides) under Vulpes vulpes (red fox). Its description in RNAcentral is "lncRNA (ENSVVUG00000025728.1)". The record is from RNAcentral. Lineage: Eukaryota; Metazoa; Chordata; Mammalia; Carnivora; Canidae.
GGAGGCAGAGACACAGGCAGAGGGAGAAGCAGGCUCCCUGCCGGGAGCCGGACAUGGGACUCGAUCCCAGAACUCCAGGAUCACGCCCUGGGCUGAAGGCGGACGCUCAACCGCUGAGCCACCUGGGCGUCCCGCGAUUACUUUUCUAAUCAAAUGUACACACAGACUCAGAUACAGAGUAAACAGGGUUGGACUGGAGAGGAGAGGGGUGCGCACUCCCCACGGGCGGGUGGGGCACUCAGGGUCGCGGCGAAGGCCGCCUGCACCGUGCGAGACGCCCGCUGUCGGCCCGCCCAGCGCUGCUGCUCACCUGGGGGUGAGCCCAUUCACCUCACCGCUGCAGCGCAUGCGUCAGAGCGAAACCUCGCCGUGAGCGGGAAUCUCACCGAGGUCUGUCUCCGGCCGGUUUUUACGUCCCUUAUGAGGAAGGAGGUCAACCCGUAUCCGGCCGUCCAGGCCUGCGUCCGCCUUGAGCGGGAUCAGGUGGGACGCCUGCUAUUUCCAGGUGUUUCCAAGUCCGUUGGGGUGGGGCAUGUAAGACUGCUCCUUGACAGCUGGCCUCCUGACGCAGCUGUUCAACAGCCUUUCUUCUGGCACGGUGACAAAGCUGACGUGGCUCUUAGCCUAAACGACUCCAUUUUGUGGAGCAGCCAUUUUAAGGGUCCAAAGUUACUUACUUUGGAAGAUAAUGAUAUACAGACACUUAAUAACAUAAUGUUUGCAAUGCCCAGCAUCCAGAAAAUUCCAAGUUAUGAGAAGCAAGAAAGUAUGACAUAA